RNAcentral lists this ribosomal RNA (1474 nucleotides) under Enterobacter hormaechei. RNAcentral's name for it is "bacterial LSU rRNA". It matches the Rfam family "Bacterial large subunit ribosomal RNA", at positions 1395 to 2845 of the family's 2925-position model. The record is from RNAcentral. Lineage: Bacteria; Pseudomonadati; Pseudomonadota; Gammaproteobacteria; Enterobacterales; Enterobacteriaceae.
GGCGAGGCCGAAAGGCGUAGUCGAUGGGAAACAGGUUAAUAUUCCUGUACUUGGUGUUACUGCGAAGGGGGGACGGAGAAGGCUAUGUCAGCCGGGCGACGGUUGUCCCGGUUUAAGCAUGUAGGCGGAGGUUCCAGGUAAAUCCGGUACCUUAUUAACGCUGAGGUGUGAUGACGAGGCACUACGGUGCUGAAGUGAUAAAUGCCCUGCUUCCAGGAAAAGCCUCUAAGCAUCAGGUAACACGAAAUCGUACCCCAAACCGACACAGGUGGUCAGGUAGAGAAUACCAAGGCGCUUGAGAGAACUCGGGUGAAGGAACUAGGCAAAAUGGUGCCGUAACUUCGGGAGAAGGCACGCUGAUAUGUAGGUGAAGUCCCUGCGGACGGAGCUGAAAUCAGUCGAAGAUACCAGCUGGCUGCAACUGUUUAUUAAAAACACAGCACUGUGCAAACACGAAAGUGGACGUAUACGGUGUGACGCCUGCCCGGUGCCGGAAGGUUAAUUGAUGGGGUUAGCGGCAACGCGAAGCUCUUGAUCGAAGCCCCGGUAAACGGCGGCCGUAACUAUAACGGUCCUAAGGUAGCGAAAUUCCUUGUCGGGUAAGUUCCGACCUGCACGAAUGGCGUAAUGAUGGCCAGGCUGUCUCCACCCGAGACUCAGUGAAAUUGAACUCGCUGUGAAGAUGCAGUGUACCCGCGGCAAGACGGAAAGACCCCGUGAACCUUUACUAUAGCUUGACACUGAACACUGGUCCUUGAUGUGUAGGAUAGGUGGGAGGCUUUGAAGCGUGGACGCCAGUCUGCGUGGAGCCAACCUUGAAAUACCACCCUUUAAUGGCUGGUGUUCUAACGUAGACCCGUAAUCCGGGUUGCGGACAGUGUCUGGUGGGUAGUUUGACUGGGGCGGUCUCCUCCCAAAGAGUAACGGAGGAGCACGAAGGUUGGCUAAUCCUGGUCGGACAUCAGGAGGUUAGUGCAAUGGCAUAAGCCAGCUUGACUGCGAGCGUGACGGCGCGAGCAGGUGCGAAAGCAGGUCAUAGUGAUCCGGUGGUUCUGAAUGGAAGGGCCAUCGCUCAACGGAUAAAAGGUACUCCGGGGAUAACAGGCUGAUACCGCCCAAGAGUUCAUAUCGACGGCGGUGUUUGGCACCUCGAUGUCGGCUCAUCACAUCCUGGGGCUGAAGUAGGUCCCAAGGGUAUGGCUGUUCGCCAUUUAAAGUGGUACGCGAGCUGGGUUUAGAACGUCGUGAGACAGUUCGGUCCCUAUCUGCCGUGGGCGCUGGAGAAUUGAGGGGGGCUGCUCCUAGUACGAGAGGACCGGAGUGGACGCAUCACUGGUGUUCGGGUUGUCAUGCCAAUGGCACUGCCCGGUAGCUAAAUGCGGAAGAGAUAAGUGCUGAAAGCAUCUAAGCACGAAACUUGCCCCGAGAUGAGUUCUCCCUGAGACUUUAAGUCUCCUGAAGGAACGUUGAAGAC